Molecule: ribosomal RNA, 240 nt
Filed under: uncultured bacterium
Lineage: Bacteria
Description: partial 16S ribosomal RNA
Rfam family: Bacterial small subunit ribosomal RNA
Source: RNAcentral
UACGUAGGGUGCGAGCGUUGUCCGGAAUUAUUGGGCGUAAAGAGCUUGUAGGCGGUUUGUCGCGUCUGCUGUGAAAACCCGAGGCUCAACCUCGGGCCUGCAGUGGGUACGGGCAGACUAGAGUGCGGUAGGGGAGAGUGGAAUUCCUGGUGUAGCGGUGAAAUGCGCAGAUAUCAGGAGGAACACCGGUGGCGAAGGCGGUUCUCUGGGCAUUACCUGACGGCUGAGGAGCGGAAAGUG